This 72-nucleotide transfer RNA is filed under the name Camelus bactrianus (Bactrian camel). It matches the Rfam family "tRNA". From Rfam's summary of the family: Transfer RNA (tRNA) molecules are approximately 80 nucleotides in length. Their secondary structure includes four short double-helical elements and three loops (D, anti-codon, and T loops). Further hydrogen bonds mediate the characteristic L-shaped molecular structure. tRNAs have two regions of fundamental functional importance: the anti-codon, which is responsible for specific mRNA codon recognition, and the 3' end, to which the tRNAs corresponding amino acid is attached (by aminoacyl-tRNA synthetases). tRNAs cope with the degeneracy of the genetic code in two manners: having more than one tRNA (with a specific anti-codon) for a particular amino acid; and 'wobble' base-pairing, i.e. permitting non-standard base-pairing at the 3rd anti-codon position. The record is from Rfam by way of RNAcentral. Lineage: Eukaryota; Metazoa; Chordata; Mammalia; Artiodactyla; Camelidae. RNAcentral also lists the same sequence under 2 other names.
GAGGGUAUAGCUCAGUGGUAUAGAGAGUGCUUAGCAUGCACAGGGUCCUGGGUUCAAUCCCCAGUACCUCCA